GAUGAACGCUGGCGGCGUGCCUAAUACAUGCAAGUCGAGCGAACGGACGAGAAGCUUGCUUCUCUGAUGUUAGCGGCGGACGGGUGAGUAACACGUGGAUAACCUACCUAUAAGACUGGGAUAACUUCGGGAAACCGGAGCUAAUACCGGAUAGUAUUUUGAACCGCAUGGUUCAAAAGUGAAAGACGGUCUUGCUGUCACUUAUAGAUGGAUCCGCGCUGCAUUAGCUAGUUGGUAAGGUAACGGCUUACCAAGGCAACGAUGCAUAGCCGACCUGAGAGGGUGAUCGGCCACACUGGAACUGAGACACGGUCCAGACUCCUACGGGAGGCAGCAGUAGGGAAUCUUCCGCAAUGGGCGAAAGCCUGACGGAGCAACGCCGCGUGAGUGAUGAAGGUCUUCGGAUCGUAAAACUCUGUUAUUAGGGAAGAACAUAUGUGUAAGUAACUGUGCGCAUCUUGACGGUACCUAAUCAGAAAGCCACGGCUAACUACGUGCCAGCAGCCGCGGUAAUACGUAGGUGGCAAGCGUUAUCCGGAAUUAUUGGGCGUAAAGCGCGCGUAGGCGGUUUUUUAAGUCUGAUGUGAAAGCCCACGGCUCAACCGUGGAGGGUCAUUGGAAACUGGAAAACUUGAGUGCAGAAGAGGAAAGUGGAAUUCCAUGUGUAGCGGUGAAAUGCGCAGAGAUAUGGAGGAACACCAGUGGCGAAGGCGACUUUCUGGUCUGUAACUGACGCUGAUGUGCGAAAGCGUGGGGAUCAAACAGGAUUAGAUACCCUGGUAGUCCACGCCGUAAACGAUGAGUGCUAAGUGUUAGGGGGUUUCCGCCCCUUAGUGCUGCAGCUAACGCAUUAAGCACUCCGCCUGGGGAGUACGACCGCAAGGUUGAAACUCAAAGGAAUUGACGGGGACCCGCACAAGCGGUGGAGCAUGUGGUUUAAUUCGAAGCAACGCGAAGAACCUUACCAAAUCUUGACAUCCUUUGACAACUCUAGAGAUAGAGCUUUCCCCUUCGGGGGACAAAGUGACAGGUGGUGCAUGAUUGUCGUCAGCUCGUGUCGUGAGAUGUUGGGUUAAGUCCCGCAACGAGCGCAACCCUUAAGCUUAGUUGCCAUCAUUAAGUUGGGCACUCUAAGUUGACUGCCGGUGACAAACCGGAGGAAGGUGGGGAUGACGUCAAAUCAUCAUGCCCCUUAUGAUUUGGGCUACACACGUGCUACAAUGGACAAUACAAAGGGCAGCGAAACCGCGAGGUCAAGCAAAUCCCAUAAAGUUGUUCUCAGUUCGGAUUGUAGUCUGCAACUCGACUACAUGAAGCUGGAAUCGCUAGUAAUCGUAGAUCAGCAUGCUACGGUGAAUACGUUCCCGGGUCU
This 1372-nucleotide ribosomal RNA is filed under the name uncultured bacterium. RNAcentral's name for it is "bacterial SSU rRNA". It matches the Rfam family "Bacterial small subunit ribosomal RNA", at positions 28 to 1381 of the family's 1533-position model. The record is from RNAcentral.